Long non-coding RNA from Prunus dulcis (almond), 398 nucleotides. RefSeq lists it as uncharacterized. The record is from RefSeq and is a predicted model, not a curated record. Lineage: Eukaryota; Viridiplantae; Streptophyta; Magnoliopsida; Rosales; Rosaceae. The transcript has 3 exons.
AGAUGGGAAAACAUUGGACAAUGAGUUGGAGGUUGUUGAGGGAAUGAAGCUAGACAGGGGCUACAUAUCCCCUUAUUUCAUCACCAACCAGAACAAUCAGAAAUGUGAAUUGGAAAAUCCUCUAAUCAUAAUCCAUGAGAAGAAAAUCUCAAGUAUUAAUGAUGUGGUUAAAGUAUUGGAGUUGGUUUUGCAGUUAUGAUUUCAGAUCUGUAGAUAACCUGUUGUUGCUGAUAUUGCUACACGGGAGGAGAACAGAACAACUUGGAAAAUGUGCAAGAAGGGAGAGCUAACUCAUACAACGAAGAACAAAUUGAUGAAGUUAAGAUCAAAUUAGUAGAAUUUGUGAGCUCUCCAUUAUUUAUAAUUAUAGGUAGGAAGUAUGUAUGUAAUAGAGUAAA